AGUGAACGCUGGCGGUAGGCCUAACACAUGCAAGUCGAACGGCAGCACAGUAAGAGCUUGCUCUUACGGGUGGCGAGUGGCGGACGUGUGAGGAAUACAUCGGAAUCUACUUUUUCGUGGGGGAUAACGUAGGGAAACUUACGCUAAUACCGCAUACGACCUACGGGUGAAAGCAGGGGAUCUUCGGACCUUGCGCGAUUGAAUGAGCCGAUGUCGGAUUAGCUAGUUGGCGGGGUAAAGGCCCACCAAGGCGACGAUCCGUAGCUGGUCUGAGAGGAUGAUCAGCCACACUGGAACUGAGACACGGUCCAGACUCCUACGGGAGGCAGCAGUGGGGAAUAUUGGACAAUGGGCGCAAGCCUGAUCCAGCCAUACCGCGUUGGUGAAGAAGGCCUUCGGGUUGGAAAGCCCUUUUGUUGGGAAAGAAAAGCAGCAGGUUAAUACCCCGCUGUUCUGACGGUACCCAAAGAAUAAGCACCGGCUAACUUCGUG
This 492-nucleotide ribosomal RNA is filed under the name uncultured bacterium. Its description in RNAcentral is "partial 16S ribosomal RNA". It matches the Rfam family "Bacterial small subunit ribosomal RNA", at positions 29 to 507 of the family's 1533-position model. The record is from RNAcentral.